UACGAAGGGUGCAAACGUUGCUCGGAAUCAUUGGGCGUAAAGCGUCCGCAGGUGGCAAUGCAAGUCUGCUGUUAAAGAGUCUAGCUCAACUAGAUAAAAGCAGUGGAAACUACAUAGCUAGAGUACGUUCGGGGCAGAGGGAAUUCCUGGUGUAGCGGUGAAAUGCGUAGAGAUCAGGAAGAACACCAGUGGCGAAGGCGCUCUGCUAGGCCGUAACUGACACUGAGGGACGAAAGCUAGGGGAGCGAAUGGG
Molecule: ribosomal RNA, 253 nt
Filed under: uncultured bacterium
Lineage: Bacteria
Description: partial 16S ribosomal RNA
Rfam family: Bacterial small subunit ribosomal RNA
Source: RNAcentral